RNAcentral lists this unclassified non-coding RNA (336 nucleotides) under soil metagenome. Its description in RNAcentral is "partial contains 5.8S ribosomal RNA, internal transcribed spacer 2, and large subunit ribosomal RNA". The stretch from base 1 to 120 matches the Rfam family "5.8S ribosomal RNA", at positions 35 to 154 of the family's 154-position model. The record is from RNAcentral.
GAUGAAGAACGUAGCGAAAUGCGAUAAGUAAUGUGAAUUGCAGAAUUCAGUGAAUCAUCGAAUCUUUGAACGCUCAUUGCGCCCGCCAGUAUUCUGGCGGGCAUGCCUGUUCGAGCGUCAUUUCAACCAUCAAGCCCCAGGCUUGGGUUGGGGACCUGCGGCUGCCGCAGGCCCUGAAAACCAGUGGCGGGCUCGCUGUCACACCGGGCGUAGUAGAUUUUAUCUCGCUCAGGGCGUGCUGCGGGUUCCGGCCGUUAAAAAGCCUUUUUUACCCAAGGUUGACCUCGGAUCAGGUAGGAAGACCCGCUGAACUUAAGCAUAUCAAUAAGCGGAGGA